GAUGAACGCUGGCGGCGUGCCUAAUACAUGCAAGUCGAGCGAACAGACGAGGAGCUUGCUCCUCUGACGUUAGCGGCGGACGGGUGAGUAACACGUGGAUAACCUACCUAUAAGACUGGGAUAACUUCGGGAAACCGGAGCUAAUACCGGAUAAUCUAUUGAACCGCAUGGUUCAAUAGUGAAAGACGGUUUUGCUGUCACUUAUAGAUGGAUCCGCGCCGCAUUAGCUAGUUGGUAAGGUAACGGCUUACCAAGGCAACGAUGCGUAGCCGACCUGAGAGGGUGAUCGGCCACAUGGGAACUGAGACACGGUCCAGACUCCUACGGGAGGCAGCAGUAGGGAAUCUUCCGCAAUGGGCGAAAGCCUGACGGAGCAACGCCGCGUGAGUGAUGAAGGUCUUCGGAUCGUAAAACUCUGUUAUUAGGGAAGAACAAAUGUGUAAGUAACUAUGCACGUCUUGACGGUACCUAAUCAGAAAGCCACGGCUAACUACGUG
This 497-nucleotide ribosomal RNA is filed under the name uncultured bacterium. RNAcentral's name for it is "partial 16S ribosomal RNA". It matches the Rfam family "Bacterial small subunit ribosomal RNA", at positions 28 to 507 of the family's 1533-position model. The record is from RNAcentral.